Molecule: ribosomal RNA, 267 nt
Filed under: uncultured Glomus
Lineage: Eukaryota; Fungi; Glomeromycota; Glomeromycetes; Glomerales; Glomeraceae
Description: partial small subunit ribosomal RNA
Rfam family: Eukaryotic small subunit ribosomal RNA
Source: RNAcentral
UAAAGUUGUUGCAGUUAAAAAGCUCGUAGUUGAAUUCCGGGGUUAGUAAGUUGGUCAUGCCAUUGGUAUGCACUGGCUUUACUGAUUCCUCCUUCUUGACGAACCGUGAUGUCAUUAAUUUGGUGUUGCGGGAAAUCAGGACUGUUACUUUGAAAAAAUUAGAGUGUUUAAAGCAGGCUAACGCUUGAAUACAUUAGCAUGGAAUAAUGAAAUAGGACGUUAAUCCUAUUGUGUUGGUUUCUAGGAUCGACGUAAUGAUUAAUAGGG